RNAcentral lists this ribosomal RNA (465 nucleotides) under Vreelandella stevensii. RNAcentral describes it as "partial 16S ribosomal RNA". It matches the Rfam family "Bacterial small subunit ribosomal RNA", at positions 338 to 795 of the family's 1533-position model. Lineage: Bacteria; Pseudomonadati; Pseudomonadota; Gammaproteobacteria; Oceanospirillales; Halomonadaceae. The record is from RNAcentral.
CCUACGGGAGGCUUCAGUGGGGAAUAUUGGACAAUGGGCGAAAGCCUGAUCCAGCCAUGCCGCGUGUGUGAAGAAGGCCUUCGGGUUGUAAAGCACUUUCAGUGGGGAAGAAAGCCUUGGGGCUAAUACCCUCGAGGAAGGACAUCACCCACAGAAGAAGCACCGGCUAACUCCGUGCCAGCAGCCGCGGUAAUACGGAGGGUGCGAGCGUUAAUCGGAAUUACUGGGCGUAAAGCGCGCGUAGGCGGUCUGAUAAGCCGGUUGUGAAAGCCCCGGGCUCAACCUGGGAACGGCAUCCGGAACUGUCAGGCUAGAGUGCAGGAGAGGAAGGUAGAAUUCCCGGUGUAGCGGUGAAAUGCGUAGAGAUCGGGAGGAAUACCAGUGGCGAAGGCGGCCUUCUGGACUGACACUGACGCUGAGGUGCGAAAGCGUGGGUAGCAAACAGGAUUAGAUACCCCGGUAGUC